CCUACGUGAGGCAGCAGUGAGGAAUAUUGGUCAAUGGGCGCGAGCCUGAACCAGCCAAGUAGCGUGAAGGAUGACUGCCCUACGGGUUGUAAACUUCUUUUAUAAAGGAAUAAAGUGAGGCACGUGUGUCUUUUUGUAUGUACUUUAUGAAUAAGGAUCGGCUAACUCCGUGCCAGCAGCCGCGGUAAUACGGAGGAUCCGAGCGUUAUCCGGAUUUAUUGGGUUUAAAGGGAGCGUAGAUGGGUUGUUAAGUCAGUUGUGAAAGUUUGCGGCUCAACCGUAAAAUUGCAAUUGAUACUGGCAGUCUUGAGUACAGUUGAGGUAGGCGGAAUUCGUGGUGUAGCGGUGAAAUGCUUAGAUAUCACGAAGAACUCCGAUUGCGAAGGCAGCUUACUAAACUGCCACUGACAUUGAUGCUCGAAAGUGUGGGUAUCAAACAGGAUUAGAUACCCUAGUAGUC
This 460-nucleotide ribosomal RNA is filed under the name uncultured bacterium. RNAcentral describes it as "partial 16S ribosomal RNA". It matches the Rfam family "Bacterial small subunit ribosomal RNA", at positions 338 to 795 of the family's 1533-position model. The record is from RNAcentral.